This 589-nucleotide small RNA is filed under the name Bipolaris maydis (southern corn leaf blight pathogen). RNAcentral describes it as "eukaryotic LSU rRNA". The stretch from base 203 to 356 matches the Rfam family "5.8S ribosomal RNA". The record is from RNAcentral. Lineage: Eukaryota; Fungi; Ascomycota; Dothideomycetes; Pleosporales; Pleosporaceae.
UUCCGUAGGUGAACCUGCGGAGGGAUCAUUACACAACAAAAUAUGAAGGCCUGGCUUUGCGGCCGGCUGAGAUAUUUUUUUCACCCAUGUCUUUUGCGCACUUGUUGUUUCCUGGGCGGGUUCGCCCGCCACCAGGACCAAACCAUAAACCUUUUUUUUAUGCAGUUGCAAUCAGCGUCAGUAUAAACAAUGUAAUUAUUACAACUUUCAACAACGGAUCUCUUGGUUCUGGCAUCGAUGAAGAACGCAGCGAAAUGCGAUACGUAGUGUGAAUUGCAGAGUUCAGUGAAUCAUCGAAUCUUUGAACGCACAUUGCGCCCUUUGGUAUUCCAAAGGGCAUGCCUGUUCAAGCGUCAUUUGUACCCUCAAGCUUUGCUUGGUGUUGGGCGUUUUUGUCUCCCUCUUUGCUGGGAGACUCGCCUUAAAACGAUUGGCAGCCGGCCUACUGGUUUCGGAGCGCAGCACAUAUUUUGCACUCUGUAUCAGGAGAAAAGGACGGUAAUCCAUCAAGACUCUUACGAUUUUUAACUUUUGACCUCGGAUCAGGUAGGGAUACCCGCUGAACUUAAGCAUAUCAAUAAGCGGAGGA